Long non-coding RNA from Saccostrea cuccullata (small rock oyster), 1017 nucleotides. RefSeq lists it as uncharacterized. NCBI's taxonomy places the organism in Eukaryota, Metazoa, Mollusca, Bivalvia, Ostreida, Ostreidae. The record is from RefSeq and is a predicted model, not a curated record. The transcript is spliced from 4 exons.
AGCAGUUCACAGAUGAUGUUGAUGAGUAGAUCAGAAGAUGAGAAACUCGAGAUCUGGCUGCAAAAAUUCCGGGCUCUUGAAGAAAAACUAAAGAAAGAAAUGAAAAUAUGAAUAAUAUUCAAUCAAAGGAUCCACAUGAUGAAAUUCUGGAAAUUCCACAGGGAAAGCCAAUAAGAAUUUUUUAAUUGACCAUCUCUGCUCAAAAUCCUUGAAAGCCGUUUUAGCUGAUGCCCUAAUUGCUGAAUACACUUUUCUCCCAGACUGGAAUUAAAAAUUAUUCCAUUUUAGGCAUAAAAACACACUUCGAAAUAUGCUGAGGAAGGAACCCGCUCUCCUCUUGACCAAAUGGGGUGAACUAUUUGCUGUUCUGAAGUGGGGUGCGGCCAAAAAACUGUCAAACAAAACCACUGACAUCUUUAUUGGCAUUAGUUACAAUGGACACUAGCAUCCCCAUAGGUUAACGGAACUUUUUACUUCACAGCUUCAAGAACAUUCCCUCUAGGCCCUGCAGCCAGGACAUAUUCCCAACAGAGACCAAAUGAAUCUUCCAGCUUGCCCAUUUCAAGCAGACGUAUUCCCAACAGAGACCAAAUGAAUCUUCCAGCUUGCCCAUUUCAAGCAGACAUGUUCCCAACAGAGACCAAAUGAAUAUUCCAGCUUGCCCAUUUCAAGCAGAUCUGGACCAUCUGUAAUGGACUAAAGCUCAUGGUUCCAGUUCUGGCAGCAGUCUGAACAAUCAUCAGACAAUUUCAUUCUAAUUCUGUUCUGGUACAAUGAUCGUCUGCUCAACAUCCCCCUUUCUAUGGUGGAAGUGGUACACAAGCCCUCGAAGGUACAGAUAUCUUCAUCUUUUAAAAACCUGGGCCAGUGAUUUUUUUUCACACAGUAAUUGGGACAAAUUAAUUACCACUCUGACAACUGAGACGUUCAUUUUUCAUGAUGAGCUUGGACCUGCAGCAUCAGCAUGUAUAAUGAUACGUUUGGUUCGUGGACGGCGCCACAAUCUCGAUGGUUAAG